Molecule: long non-coding RNA, 686 nt
Organism: Mytilus californianus (California mussel)
Lineage: Eukaryota; Metazoa; Mollusca; Bivalvia; Mytilida; Mytilidae
Exons: 3
Source: RefSeq, a predicted model, not a curated record
AGGAGUUUAAUCCAGAAAGAAAAAAUUGCUGUUGAAAAACUCCAGAGGUAUGAAGAUGACUUAUUUAAGAAAAAAAUGAUUCUAGAGGUAUUAAACAGUAGAAGAUGACUUAUUUAAGGAAGAAAUGAUUCUAGAGGUAUUAAACAGUAGAGGGUGACUUAUUUAAGGAAGAAAUGAUUCUAGAGGUAUUAAACAGUAGAGGGUGACUUAUUUAAGGAAGAAAUGAUUCUAGAGGUAUUAAACAGUAGAAGAUGACUUAUUUAAGGAAGAAAUGAUUCUAGAGGUAUUAAACAGUAGAAGGUGACUUAUUUAAGGAAGAAAUGAUUCUAGAGGUAUUAAACAGUAGAAGAUGACUUAUUUAAGGAAGAAAUGAUUCUAGAGGUAUUAAACAGUAGAAGAUGACUUAUUUAAGGAAGAAAUGAUUCUAGAGGUAUUAAACAGUAGAAGGUGACUUAUUUAAGGAAGAAAUGAUUCUAGAGGUAUUAAACAGUAGAGGGUGACUUAUUUAAGAAAGAAAUGAUUCUAGAGGUAUUAAACAGUAGAAGAUGACUUAUUUAAGGAAGAAAUGAUUCUAGAGGUAUUAAACAGUAGAAGAUGACUUAUUUAAGGAAGAAAUGAUUCUAGAGGUAUUAAACAGUAGAAGAUGACUUAUUUAAGAAAGAAAUGAUUCUAGAGGUAUUAAACAG